RNAcentral lists this ribosomal RNA (253 nucleotides) under uncultured bacterium. RNAcentral describes it as "partial 16S ribosomal RNA". It matches the Rfam family "Bacterial small subunit ribosomal RNA", at positions 524 to 776 of the family's 1533-position model. The record is from RNAcentral.
UACAGAGGUCCCGAGCGUUGUUCGGAUUCACUGGGCGUAAAGGGUGCGCGGGUGGGUUGGCAAGUUUGAUGUGAAAGCCCCAGGCUUAACCCGGGAAUGGCAUUGAAUACUGCUGAUCUGGAGGAUCGGAGGGGGGACUGGAAUUCUUGGUGUAGCAGUGAAAUGCGUAGAUAUCAAGAGGAACACCAGUGGCGAAGGCGAGUCCCUGGACGAUACCUGACACUGAGGCACGAAAGCCGGGGGAGCAAACAGG